GAAACAGCUUUCAGUUAGAAAGCCAUCGAGAAGACCAUUGGAAAAAACUAAAGUCAAAUAAUAAACCUACCUACAUUAUUUUACUUACCAAAUCCACCACCCAUGUUUGAUCCCCCUUCACGAAAAUCGGUGUAAAAGGUAAGAUUAUACUAUAAGGAGUAAAUAAUUCUAAAGCUCUUAAAAAAUGUAAUAACAGAAGUUUAACAAUUUAGUAUUUUUAUAAAACAUUUUACCUGUUAAAAAAAAAAAAAAAUACUAAUAAGGAGUUUAUAAGAAAUAAUAUUAUGAAAUCAUCAAAUAUAAAGAAUUAUUACAAUUAUGCAUUAAUUAUUUGAAAGUAAUCUUUACCUUGUUUAAAUAAUUUAAUCUCAUUUUUGUUUAGUGUGAUAUAUUUAUAUUUUUUAAACAAUUCUCAAUAUUUUUACAUACCUUGACUUGAUAAUUGUGUUUCAAUUAUGCAAUAAGUUUUGUUUCAUACCUACCAUUCAAUUUAAUAUAUAUCAUACAAAUUCUUAUUUGACUACUUUAAAGUUCAAAUAUUAAACUUCUUUUUUUCAGAAUUCUAAUAUAGCUCUACAAAAUCUUGAAAAUUUAGAAAUCAUGAUGAGCCUACAUUCAAUAUCACAAACCUACAUUGUUCAAGAUAAAGUUCUGG
Non-coding RNA from Cinara cedri, 655 nucleotides. NCBI's taxonomy places the organism in Eukaryota, Metazoa, Arthropoda, Insecta, Hemiptera, Aphididae. The record is from the annotation of a GenBank genome assembly.